GGAGCAGCCCAGAGCCUGAAUCAGUGUGUGUGUUAGUGGAAGCGUCUGGAAAGGCGUGCGAUACAGGGUGACAGCCCCGUACACAAAAAUGCACAUACUGUGAGCUCGAUGAGUAGGGCGGGACACGUGGUAUCCUGUCUGAAUAUGGGGGGACCAUCCUCCAAGGCUAAAUACUCCUGACUGACCGAUAGUGAACCAGUACCGUGAGGGAAAGGCGAAAAGAACCCCGGCGAGGGGAGUGAAAAAGAACCUGAAACCGUGUACGUACAAGCAGUGGGAGCACGCUUAGGCGUGUGACUGCGUACCUUUUGUAUAAUGGGUCAGCGACUUAUAUUCUGUAGCAAGGUUAACCGAAUAGGGGAGCCGAAGGGAAACCGAGUCUUAACUGGGCGUUAAGUUGCAGGGUAUAGACCCGAAACCCGGUGAUCUAGCCAUGGGCAGGUUGAAGGUUGGGUAACACUAACUGGAGGACCGAACCGACUAAUGUUGAAAAAUUAGCGGAUGACUUGUGGCUGGGGGUGAAAGGCCAAUCAAACCGGGAGAUAGCUGGUUCUCCCCGAAAGCUAUUUAGGUAGCGCCUCGUGAAUUCAUCUCCGGGGGUAGAGCACUGUUUCGGCAAGGGGGUCAUCCCGACUUACCAACCCGAUGCAAACUGCGAAUACCGGAGAAUGUUAUCACGGGAGACACACGGCGGGUGCUAACGUCCGUCGUGAAGAGGGAAACAACCCAGACCGCCAGCUAAGGUCCCAAAGUCAUGGUUAAGUGGGAAACGAUGUGGGAAGGCCCAGACAGCCAGGAUGUUGGCUUAGAAGCAGCCAUCAUUUAAAGAAAGCGUAAUAGCUCACUGGUCGAGUCGGCCUGCGCGGAAGAUGUAACGGGGCUAAACCAUGCACCGAAGCUGCGGCAGCGACGCUUAUGCGUUGUUGGGUAGGGGAGCGUUCUGUAAGCCUGUGAAGGUGUGCUGUGAGGUAUGCUGGAGGUAUCAGAAGUGCGAAUGCUGACAUAAGUAACGAUAAAGCGGGUGAAAAGCCCGCUCGCCGGAAGACCAAGGGUUCCUGUCCAACGUUAAUCGGGGCAGGGUGAGUCGACCCCUAAGGCGAGGCCGAAAGGCGUAGUCGAUGGGAAACAGGUUAAUAUUCCUGUACUUGGUGUUACUGCGAAGGGGGGACGGAGAAGGCUAUGUUGGCCGGGCGACGGUUGUCCCGGUUUAAGCGUGUAGGCUGGUUUUCCAGGCAAAUCCGGAAAAUCAAGGCCGAG
RNAcentral lists this ribosomal RNA (1257 nucleotides) under Escherichia coli. Its description in RNAcentral is "partial 23S ribosomal RNA". It matches the Rfam family "Bacterial large subunit ribosomal RNA", at positions 294 to 1560 of the family's 2925-position model. Lineage: Bacteria; Pseudomonadati; Pseudomonadota; Gammaproteobacteria; Enterobacterales; Enterobacteriaceae. The record is from RNAcentral. RNAcentral also lists the same sequence under 3 other names.